GAUGAACGCUGGCGGCGUGCUUAACACAUGCAAGUCGAACGGAAAGGCUCCUGCUUGCAGGGGUACUCGAGUGGCGAACGGGUGAGUAACACGUGGGUGAUCUGCCCUGCACUUCGGGAUAAGCCUGGGAAACUGGGUCUAAUACCGGAUAGGACGAUGGUUUGGAUGCCAUUGUGGAAAGUUUUUCGGUGUGGGAUGAGCUCGCGGCCUAUCAGCUUGUUGGUGGGGUAAUGGCCUACCAAGGCGUCGACGGGUAGCCGGCCUGAGAGGGUGUACGGCCACAUUGGGACUGAGAUACGGCCCAGACUCCUACGGGAGGCAGCAGUGGGGAAUAUUGCACAAUGGGCGCAAGCCUUAUGCAGCGACGCCGCGUGGGGGAUGACGGCCUUCGGGUUGUAAACUCCUUUCGCUAGGGACGAAGCGCAAGUGACGGUACCUGGAGAAGAAGCACCGGCUAACUACGUG
RNAcentral lists this ribosomal RNA (465 nucleotides) under uncultured bacterium. Its description in RNAcentral is "partial 16S ribosomal RNA". It matches the Rfam family "Bacterial small subunit ribosomal RNA", at positions 28 to 507 of the family's 1533-position model. The record is from RNAcentral.